AACCUUACCCACCUUUGACAUGUACGGAAUCCUUUAGAGAUAGAGGAGUGCUCGAAAGAGAGCCGUAACACAGGUGCUGCAUGGCUGUCGUCAGCUCGUGUCGUGAGAUGUUGGGUUAAGUCCCGCAACGAGCGCAACCCUUGUCAUUAGUUGCUACAUUUAGUUGGGCACUCUAAUGAGACUGCCGGUGACAAACCGGAGGAAGGUGGGGAUGACGUCAAGUCCUCAUGGCCCUUAUAGGUGGGGCUACACACGUCAUACAAUGGAUGGUACAAAGGGUCGCCAACCCGCGAGGGGGAGCCAAUCCCAUAAAGCCAUUCGUAGUCCGGAUCGCAGUCUGCAACUCGACUGCGUGAAGUCGGAAUCGCUAGUAAUCGUGGAUCAGAAUGUCACGGUGAAUACGUUCCCGGGUCUUGUACACACCGCCCGUCACACCAUGGGAGCGGGUUCUGCCAGAAGUAGGUAGCCUAACCGUAAGGAGGGCGCUUACCACGGCAGGGUUCGUGA
This 507-nucleotide ribosomal RNA is filed under the name uncultured bacterium. RNAcentral describes it as "bacterial SSU rRNA". It matches the Rfam family "Bacterial small subunit ribosomal RNA", at positions 967 to 1474 of the family's 1533-position model. The record is from RNAcentral.